RNAcentral lists this ribosomal RNA (460 nucleotides) under uncultured bacterium. RNAcentral describes it as "partial 16S ribosomal RNA". It matches the Rfam family "Bacterial small subunit ribosomal RNA", at positions 338 to 795 of the family's 1533-position model. The record is from RNAcentral.
CCUACGGGGGGCAGCAGUGAGGAAUAUUGGUCAAUGGGCUUACGCCUGAACCAGCCAAGUCGCGUGAGGGAAGACUGCCCUAUGGGUUGUAAACCUCUUUUGUCAGGGAGCAACGCCGGCUACGUGUAGCCGGACUGAGAGUACCUGAAGAAAAAGCCUCGGCUAACUCCGUGCCAGCAGCCGCGGUAAUACGGAGGAUGCGAGCGUUAUCCGGAUUUAUGGGGUUUAAAGGGUGCGUAGGCGGAAUGCCAAGUCAGCGGUAAAAUCGCGGGGCUCAACCUCUCUCCGCCGUUGAAACUGGCGUUCUUGAGUGGGCGAGAAGUAUGCGGAAUGCGUGGUGUAGCGGUGAAAUGCAUAGAUAUCACGCAGAACUCCGAUUGCGAAGGCAGCAUACCGGCGCCCAACUGACGCUGAAGCACGAAAGCGUGGGUAUCGAACAGGAUUAGAUACCCUGGUAGUC